GACGAACGCUGGCGGCGUGCCUAAUACAUGCAAGUCGAACGCUGAGGGUUGGUACUUGUGGGAUGUGGGUGAGGAGCGAGGGUGAGAAUCACGCGAGUGGACUCUGCCUUUGAGCGGGGUAAAAUCUGGGGAAACGGGUGCUAAUAGGGCAUGAAAACUUGCAACACGGGGGUGAAGGGUAAGAGAUGGAAGUGCGUGACUGAAAGAUGAUCCCGCGUCGUAUUAGCUAGGUGGUGGGGUAAAGGGGCACCAAGGCGAUGAUACAUAGCAGACGUGAGAGGGUGGUCGGCCACACUGGGACGGAGACCCGGCACAAACGCCUACGGGAGGCAGCAGUAGGGAAUCGUCGGCAAGGGACGAAAGUCUGACCGAGCAACGCCGCGGGAGUGAAGAAGGAUUUCGGAUCGUAAAACUCUGUCGGUAGAGAAGAACGUGCGUGAGAGUGGAAAGCUCAUCAAGUGACGGUAACUAGCAAGAAAGCGACGGCUAACUACGUG
This 497-nucleotide ribosomal RNA is filed under the name uncultured bacterium. RNAcentral describes it as "partial 16S ribosomal RNA". It matches the Rfam family "Bacterial small subunit ribosomal RNA", at positions 28 to 507 of the family's 1533-position model. The record is from RNAcentral.